RNAcentral lists this ribosomal RNA (1326 nucleotides) under Athyma cama (orange staff sergeant). Its description in RNAcentral is "16S ribosomal RNA". Lineage: Eukaryota; Metazoa; Arthropoda; Insecta; Lepidoptera; Nymphalidae. The record is from RNAcentral.
GGGGAAAAAUUAAUAAAUUAUAAAUAAUAAAAAAAUUUUUAAUAUUGGGGGAUGUUAAAGUAUUUUUUUAAGAAAAAAUAAAUUAUUUUAUAGUUAAAUAGUAUUGAAGAAGAAGUUUGAAAUAAUUGAAAAAAAAAUUAAAAAAAAAGUAAUUUUAAUUUAGUGUAUCUUGUGUAUCAGAGUUUAUUAAAAAAUAUUUUUUAUAAAAAAAAAUCUCGAAUUUAAAAGAGUUAAUUAAUUAUAAAAGUUAAUGUAGAAAAAUUAUUUUAAAUAAUUAAUUUGAAAUGAAAUGUUAAUCGUUUUUAAAUAUAUCUAGUUAUUUUAGAAAAAAAUUUAAUUUAAAAUUUAAAAAAUUUUAUUAUUAAUUAUAAUUAAUAAUAAAAUAUUUAAAAUUAAAUAUAUUAAGGGAUAAGCUUUAAUAUAAAAAUUUAUAAUAAUUUUAAUUAAAAUAUAAAAAUUUUAAAAUUUAUAUUAUUUAAAAAUUAUAAUUUGUUAUAAAAAAUUUUAUAAAUAAUAAAAUUUAAUUUAAAAUUUAAUUUUGUAUAAAAUAAUAAUUUAAAAUAAAAUAAAAUUAAAAAUAAUGAUAAAAUUAGUAUAUUAAAAUAAAAAUAUAAUUUAAUUAAUAAAAAUUAAAUUAAAGGAAUUCGGCAAAAAUUUAUAUUCACUUGUUUAUCAAAAACAUGUCUUUUAGAUAAUAAUUUAAAGUCUAAUCUGCCCACUGAUAGUAUAUUAAAGGGCUGCAGUAUAUUGACUGUACAAAGGUAGCAUAAUCAAUAGUCUUUUAAUUGAAGACUUGUAUGAAAGAUUUGAUGAGAUAUAAGCUGUCUCUAAUUUAUAUAUAAAAUUUAAUUUUUUAGUUAAAAAGCUAAAAUAAAUUUAAAAGACGAGAAGACCCUGUAGAGUUUUAUAUUAAUAUUUAUUUAAGAUUAAUUAUAUAAAUAAAAAUUAAAAAUAAAAUUAGUAUUUUAUUGGGGUGAUAGAAAAAUUUAUAUAACUUUUUUUAAAAAAAAAUUAACAUAAAUAAGUGAAUAAUUGAUCCAUUAUUAAUGAUUAAAAGAAAAAAUUACCUUAGGGAUAACAGCGUAAUAUUUUUUUCUAGUACAAAUAGAAAAAAAAGUUUGCGACCUCGAUGUUGGAUUAAGAUAAAAUUUAAAUGCAAAAGUUUAAAAUUUUGAUCUGUUCGAUCAUUAAAAUCUUACAUGAUCUGAGUUCAAACCGGUGUGAGCCAGGUUGGUUUCUAUCUUUAAAAUAAUAAAAUAUUUUAGUACGAAAGGAUCAAAUAUUUUUAAUAAUUAAAAUUUAAUGAAUAUUAAUAAUAUAAUUAUA